This 389-nucleotide ribosomal RNA is filed under the name uncultured bacterium. Its description in RNAcentral is "bacterial SSU rRNA". It matches the Rfam family "Bacterial small subunit ribosomal RNA", at positions 28 to 416 of the family's 1533-position model. The record is from RNAcentral.
GACGAACGCUGGCGGCGUGCUUAACACAUGCAAGUCGAGCGGUAAGGCCCUUUCGGGGGUACGACGAGCGGCGAACGGGUGAGUAACACGUGGGUGACCUGCCCUUACGCUCUGGGAUAAGCCUGGGAAACUGGGUCUAAUACCGGACAUGACUCCAUGACGCAUGUUGUGGGGUGGAAAGCCUUGUGCGGCUAGGGAUGGGCCCGCGGCCUAUCAGCUUGUUGGUGGGGUGAUGGCCUACCAAGGCGACGACGGGUAGCCGGCCUGAGAGGGCGACCGGCCACACUGGGACUGAGACACGGCCCAGACUCCUACGGGAGGCAGCAGUGGGGAAUCUUGCGCAAUGGGCGAAAGCCUGACGCAGCGACGCCGCGUGGGGAGUGACGGCC